This is a long non-coding RNA of Homo sapiens (human), 209 nucleotides long. Ensembl annotates it as USP2 antisense RNA 1. Its record names the gene USP2-AS1. The record is from Ensembl. NCBI's taxonomy places the organism in Eukaryota, Metazoa, Chordata, Mammalia, Primates, Hominidae.
CCUGCCUCGACCUUAGCCCAAUCAGCUCUCCUUUCCUCUGCUUUACGGGGGUCCAUCUGGGGGAUGUUCUCAUGCCCAUUCCAGGGGAGGUGGCACGUACCUGCCUCUUCUUGGAGUAUGGACGAGUCGAACCGGGCACAAGCAUGGAGCUGCGGGUGAGUCCCGGCUGGCGCUGGCGCGGCGCAGUGAGCACCAGCUGACGAAGAGGG